RNAcentral lists this ribosomal RNA (484 nucleotides) under uncultured bacterium. Its description in RNAcentral is "partial 16S ribosomal RNA". It matches the Rfam family "Bacterial small subunit ribosomal RNA", at positions 30 to 507 of the family's 1533-position model. The record is from RNAcentral.
AUUGAACGCUGGCGGCAGGCCUAACACAUGCAAGUCGAGCGGAUGAAGGGAGCUUGCUCCUGGAUUCAGCGGCGGACGGGUGAGUAAUGCCUAGGAAUCUGCCUGGUAGUGGGGGAUAACGUCCGGAAACGGGCGCUAAUACCGCAUACGUCCUGAGGGAGAAAGUGGGGGAUCUUCGGACCUCACGCUAUCAGAUGAGCCUAGGUCGGAUUAGCUAGUUGGUGGGGUAAAGGCCUACCAAGGCGACGAUCCGUAACUGGUCUGAGAGGAUGAUCAGUCACACAGGAACUGUGACACGGUCCAGACUCCUACGGGAGGCAGCAGUGGGGAAUAUUGGACAAUGGGCGAAAGCCUGAUCCAGCCAUGCCGCGUGUGUGAAGAAGGUCUUCGGAUUGUAAAGCACUUUAAGUUGGGAGGAAGGGCAGUAAGUUAAUACCUUGCUGUUUUGACGUUACCAACAGAAUAAGCACCGGCUAACUUCGUG